ACACUUACUGGCAGGGGAGAUACCAUGAUCAUGAAGGUGGUUUUCCCAGCAUGAGGCUCAUCCAUUGCACUCCAGAUGUGCUGACCCCUGGAAUUUCCGUAAAUGUGGGAAAUUCAACUGCAUAAUUUGUGGUAGUGGGGGACUGUGUUUGCGCUUUCCCCUG
This is a small nuclear RNA of Symphalangus syndactylus (siamang), 163 nucleotides long. RefSeq annotates it as U1 spliceosomal RNA. NCBI's taxonomy places the organism in Eukaryota, Metazoa, Chordata, Mammalia, Primates, Hylobatidae. The record is from RefSeq and is a predicted model, not a curated record.